AUUGAACGCUGGCGGCAUGCUUUACACAUGCAAGUCGAACGGUAACAGGCCGCAAGGUGCUGACGAGUGGCGAACGGGUGAGUAGUGCAUCGGAACGUGCCCAGUCGUGGGGGAUAACUACUCGAAAGAGUAGCUAAUACCGCAUACGAUCUAUGGAUGACAGCGGGGGACCGUAAGGGAUCGUGCGAUUGGAGCGGCCGAUGUCAGACUAGGUAGUUGGUGGGGUAGAGGCUCACCAAGCCAACGCUCUGCAGCUGGUCUGAGAGGAGGACCAGCCACACUGGGACUGAGACACGGCCCAGACUCCUACGGGAGGCAGCAGUGGGGAAUUUUGGACAAUGGGCGCAAGCCUGAUCCAGCAAUGCCGCGUGCAGGAAGAAGGCCUUCGGGUUGUAAACUGCUUUUGUACGGAACGAAACGGCUCUGGUUAAUACCCGGGGCUAAUGACGGUACCGUAAGAAUAAGCACCGGCUAACUACGUG
Molecule: ribosomal RNA, 482 nt
Filed under: uncultured bacterium
Lineage: Bacteria
Description: partial 16S ribosomal RNA
Rfam family: Bacterial small subunit ribosomal RNA
Source: RNAcentral